This 440-nucleotide ribosomal RNA is filed under the name uncultured bacterium. RNAcentral's name for it is "partial 16S ribosomal RNA". It matches the Rfam family "Bacterial small subunit ribosomal RNA", at positions 338 to 795 of the family's 1533-position model. The record is from RNAcentral.
CCUACGGGAGGCAGCAGUGGGGAAUAUUGCACAAUGGGGGAAACCCUGAUGCAGCGACGCCGCGUGAGUGAAGAAGGAUUUCGGUAUGUAAAGCUCUAUCAGCAGGGAAGAAAAUGACGGUACCUGACUAGGAAGCCCCGGCUAACUACGUGCCAGCAGCCGCGGUAAUACGUAGGGGGCAAGCGUUAUCCGGAUUUACUGGGUGUAAAGGGAGCGUAGGCGGCAUCGCAGGUCUGAAGUGAAAUCCCAUGGCUUAACCAUGGAACUGCUUUGGAAACUGUGCAGCUGGAGUGCAGGAGAGGUAAGCGGAAUUCGUAGUGUAGCGGUGAAAUGCGUAGAUAUUAGGAGGAACCCCAGUGGCGAAGGCGGCUUACUGGACUGUAACUGACGUUGAUGCACGAAAGCGUGGGGAGCAAACAGGAUUAGAUACCCGUGUAGUC